This 1326-nucleotide ribosomal RNA is filed under the name human gut metagenome. Its description in RNAcentral is "bacterial LSU rRNA". It matches the Rfam family "Bacterial large subunit ribosomal RNA", at positions 818 to 2124 of the family's 2925-position model. The record is from RNAcentral.
GGGGUGAAAGGCCAAUCAAACCGGGAGAUAGCUGGUUCUCCCCGAAAGCUAUUUAGGUAGCGCCUCGUGAACUCAUCUUCGGGGGUAGAGCACUGUUUCGGCUAGGGGGCCAUCCCGGCUUACCAACCCGAUGCAAACUACGAAUACCGAAGAAUGUUAUCACGGGAGACACACGGCGGGUGCUAACGUCCGUCGUGAAGAGGGAAACAACCCAGACCGCCAGCUAAGGUCCCAAAGUCAUGGUUAAGUGGGAAACGAUGUGGGAAGGCACAGACAGCCAGGAUGUUGGCUUAGAAGCAGCCAUCAUUUAAAGAAAGCGUAAUAGCUCACUGGUCGAGUCGGCCUGCGCGGAAGAUGUAACGGGGCUAAACCAUGCACCGAAGCUGCGGCAGCGACACUAUGUGUUGUUGGGUAGGGGAGCGUUCUGUAAGCCGUUGAAGGUGUGCUGUGAGGCAUGCUGGAGGUAUCAGAAGUGCGAAUGCUGACAUAAGUAACGAUAAAGCGGGUGAAAAGCCCGCUCGCCGGAAGACCAAGGGUUCCUGUCCAACGUUAAUCGGGGCAGGGUGAGUCGACCCCUAAGGCGAGGCCGAAAGGCGUAGUCGAUGGGAAACAGGUUAAUAUUCCUGUACUUGGUGUUACUGCGAAGGGGGGACGGAGAAGGCUAUGUCAGCCGGGCGACGGUUGUCCCGGUUUAAGCAUGUAGGCGGAGGUUCCAGGUAAAUCCGGUACCUUUUAACGCUGAGGUGUGAUGACGAGGCACUACGGUGCUGAAGUGAUAAAUGCCCUGCUUCCAGGAAAAGCCUCUAAGCAUCAGGUAACACGAAAUCGUACCCCAAACCGACACAGGUGGUCAGGUAGAGAAUACCAAGGCGCUUGAGAGAACUCGGGUGAAGGAACUAGGCAAAAUGGUGCCGUAACUUCGGGAGAAGGCACGCUGAUGUGUAGGUGAAGCCCCUGCGGGCGGAGCUGAAAUCAGUCGAAGAUACCAGCUGGCUGCAACUGUUUAUUAAAAACACAGCACUGUGCAAACACGAAAGUGGACGUAUACGGUGUGACGCCUGCCCGGUGCCGGAAGGUUAAUUGAUGGGGUUAGCUGUAAGGCGAAGCUCUUGAUCGAAGCCCCGGUAAACGGCGGCCGUAACUAUAACGGUCCUAAGGUAGCGAAAUUCCUUGUCGGGUAAGUUCCGACCUGCACGAAUGGCGUAAUGAUGGCCAGGCUGUCUCCACCCGAGACUCAGUGAAAUUGAACUCGCUGUGAAGAUGCAGUGUACCCGCGGCAAGACGGAAAGACCCCGUGAACCUUUACUAUAGCUUGACACUGAACAC